Heterocephalus glaber (naked mole-rat) is the source of this 404-nucleotide long non-coding RNA. NCBI's taxonomy places the organism in Eukaryota, Metazoa, Chordata, Mammalia, Rodentia, Bathyergidae. The record is from Ensembl.
CUGUGAGCCACACAGCUUCCUGGAACUCUGGAACAUUGCAAUGUGAGAACUCCCGUUCUGGGCACCUCUGUGGGCCGCCCAGAACCCCCUCGGGAAGGGGAGAAGGAUACUUGCAGGAGAAGCUCCAGGAGGCCAGGAGGGGCCAACUCUUCUGCUUCCUGCUCUGCUGGGUGUUUGAAAAUAGGAACCCCCUGGAGUCUGGCCAGGAUGGUGAAGUUCCCGCAGUGACCCAGCUGCGUCUACACUGCGCGUCCCUCUGCGCACCGGCUCCCCUGCGCCAGGCUGGGUCUGCGGGCACUCUGCUCCGGACUGAAGACCGGCCAGGACGCAGCUCGGACCGCCACAGGAAGGGGCAGACGCGCCAAGGCCUUAGCUGAUUGAGCCUUAAAACCAAGAUUGUUGAC